UGGACCACUACUCUACAUGCCCAUUUUGUUCAUGUAGUAGAGCUUAUUGGUGGCCAUGAAAGGGCAACACCCGAAUCAGUUUUGGAGUUAAUGAAUGUGAAGGACUUAACACUAGCUCAUGUGAAGAGUCACCUGCAGAUGUAUAGAACAGUGAAGAGCACUGACAAAGGAGCAUGUAUUUGGAUCUUCCCCUACACCCCCCCCCCCCC
Telopea speciosissima is the source of this 209-nucleotide long non-coding RNA. RefSeq lists it as uncharacterized. The transcript is spliced from 3 exons. NCBI's taxonomy places the organism in Eukaryota, Viridiplantae, Streptophyta, Magnoliopsida, Proteales, Proteaceae. The record is from RefSeq and is a predicted model, not a curated record.